GACGAACGCUGGCGGCGUGCUUAACACAUGCAAGUCGAACGGAGAACGAGGGAGCUUGCUCUCCCCGGCUCAGUGGCUAACGGGUGAGUAACACGUGAGCAAUCUGCCCCGAACUCACGGAUAAGCUUUGGAAACGACGUCUAAUACCAGAUACGCCGCUGGAGGGCAUCCUCUCCGCGUGGCAAGAACUUCGGUUCGGAAUGAGCGGGCGGCCUAUCAGCUUGGUGGUGAGGUAACGGGUCGCCAAGGAGACGACGGGUAGCCGGCCUGAGAGGGUGACCGGCCACACACGGACUGAGAGACGGACCAGACACAUACGGGAGGGAGGAGUGAGGAAGAAAGCAUGAUGAACGCGAGCCAGCUGGAGGAACGCCGCGUGAGGGACGACGGCAUUAGGGUGGUAAGCAACUUUUAGCAGGGAAGGAGCGAAAGUGACGGUACCGGCAGAAAAAACACCGGCUAACUACGU
This 469-nucleotide ribosomal RNA is filed under the name uncultured bacterium. RNAcentral describes it as "partial 16S ribosomal RNA". It matches the Rfam family "Bacterial small subunit ribosomal RNA", at positions 28 to 506 of the family's 1533-position model. The record is from RNAcentral.